CAGUAGCCACGGGAAUACGAAGGGGGCUAGCGUUGCUCGGAAUGACUGGGCGUAAAGGGCGCGUAGGCGGCGAUCAAAGUCAGGCGUGAAAUUCCUGGGCUCAACCUGGGGGCUGCGUUUGAUACUUGAUUGCUAGAGUGGGGAAGAGGGUCGUGGAAUUCCCAGUGUAGAGGUGAAAUUCGUAGAUAUUGGGAAGAACACCGGUGGCGAAGGCGGCGACCUGGUCCUUGACUGACGCUGAGGCGCGAAAGCGUGGGGAGCAAACAGGAUUAGAUACCCGUGUAGUCCCUGUCUCUUAUAC
This 301-nucleotide ribosomal RNA is filed under the name uncultured bacterium. RNAcentral describes it as "partial 16S ribosomal RNA". It matches the Rfam family "Bacterial small subunit ribosomal RNA", at positions 509 to 807 of the family's 1533-position model. The record is from RNAcentral.